RNAcentral lists this ribosomal RNA (253 nucleotides) under uncultured bacterium. RNAcentral's name for it is "partial 16S ribosomal RNA". It matches the Rfam family "Bacterial small subunit ribosomal RNA", at positions 524 to 776 of the family's 1533-position model. The record is from RNAcentral.
UACGUAGGGGGCAAGCGUUGUCCGGAAUUAUUGGGCGUAAAGAGCUCGUAGGCGGCUUGUCACGUCGGGUGUGAAAGCCCGGGGCUUAACCCCGGGUCUGCAUUCGAUACGGGCUAGCUAGAGUGUGGUAGGGGAGAUCGGAAUUCCUGGUGUAGCGGUGAAAUGCGCAGAUAUCAGGAGGAACACCGGUGGCGAAGGCGGAUCUCUGGGCCGUAACUGACGCUGAGGAGCGAAAGCGUGGGGAGCGAACAGG